CCUACGGGUGGCAGCAGUGAGGAAUAUUGGUCAAUGGGCGCGAGCCUGAACCAGCCAAGUAGCGUGAAGGAUGACUGCCCUACGGGUUGUAAACUUCUUUUAUACAGGAAUAAAGUGAGGCACGUGUGCCUUUUUGUCUGUACUUUAUCAAUAAGGAUCGGCUAACUCCGUGCCAGCAGCCGCUGUAAUACGGAGGUUCCGAGCGUUAUCCGGGUGUAUUGGGUUUAAAGGGAGCGUAGAUGGGUUGUUAAGUCAGUUGUGAAAGUUUGCGGUGCAACCGGAAAAUUGCAAUUGAGACUGGAGGCUGUGAGUGCAGUUGUGGUAGACGGAAUUCGUGGUGUAGCGGUGAAAUGCGUAGAUAUCACGAAGAACUCCGAGUGCGAAGGCAGCCGACUAAAGUGCCACUGACAUUGAUGCUCGAAAGUGUGGGUAUCAAACAGGAUUAGAUACCCCUGUAGUC
Molecule: ribosomal RNA, 460 nt
Filed under: uncultured bacterium
Lineage: Bacteria
Description: partial 16S ribosomal RNA
Rfam family: Bacterial small subunit ribosomal RNA
Source: RNAcentral